Molecule: ribosomal RNA, 450 nt
Filed under: uncultured Glomus
Lineage: Eukaryota; Fungi; Glomeromycota; Glomeromycetes; Glomerales; Glomeraceae
Description: SSU rRNA
Rfam family: Eukaryotic small subunit ribosomal RNA
Source: RNAcentral
AGCAGCCGCGGUAAUUCCAGCUCCAAUAGCGUAUAUUAAAGUUGUUGCAGUUAAAAAGCUCGUAGUUGAAUUUCGGGAUCAGAUUGUUGGUCGUGCCUCGGUACGCACUGGCAUUAUUGGUUCCUACCUUCUGAAGAACCGCGAUGUCAUUAAUUUGGUGUCGUGGGGAAUCAGGACUGUUACUUUGAAAAAUUAGAAGUGUUUAAAGCAGGCGCACGCUUGAAUACAUUAGCAUGGAAUAAUGAAAUAGGACGUUUGAUUCUAUUUUGUUGGUUUCUAGGAUCGACGUAAUGAUUAAUAGGGAUAGUUGGGGGCAUUAGUAUUCAAUUGUCAGAGGUGAAAUUCUUGGAUUUAUUGAAGACUAACUACUGCGAAAGCAUUUGCCAAGGAUGUUUUCAUUAAUCAAGAACGAAAGUUAGGGGAUCGAAGACGAUCAGAUACCGUCGUAGU